UAAUGCCACCAUAACCAUACUGGAUAGACCUGAUCUUAUCUGCUUUUGGAAGCUAAACAGGGUCAGCCCUGGUUAGUAUUUGGCUCAGAGACUGUCAAGAAAUAACAGGCAGCAGCUCCCU
Molecule: ribosomal RNA, 121 nt
Filed under: Pogona vitticeps (central bearded dragon)
Lineage: Eukaryota; Metazoa; Chordata; Lepidosauria; Squamata; Agamidae
Source: RNAcentral